CGUCAUACACCUGCACCCGGGAGGAAAGGCGAGGCUCUGCAUCUAGAUUUACCUCGUUCUCUUUUGUCUCCGCUUUUUUUUCACAUUUCCUUGCGACCCUGGCCCUUGAGCGACAAAAAGGGGAAGCCAAGGCUGGCCCGAGGAACGGAGAGGGCACAUGGCCUAGCCACAAGUGGAGCUUCUGCUCCGCCCGAAGGGAUGCGCUGGAGCGGCCUCUUCCUUCUGCCACGGUCUUUCUUUGCCAACUAGUAGAUUUGGACAUUUACAGUGUUCAGCCGUUGUUGUGGCAUUCCAAUUCAAUUGGGAAACAGCUUGAUGUAGCGUCCCCAUAAGGUCCACAGUAAUUAAAUUUUUUUUUUUUUUUUUUGGUGCGGUAGUGCAAUUUCAUGGCUCACUGCAACCUCCACCUCCCAGGUUCAAGCGAUCCUCCCAUCUCAGCCUCCCUAGUAGCUGGGAUUACAGGUGCACGCCACCACACCAGGCUAAUUUUUGUAUUUUUAGUAGAGAUGGGGUUUCACCAGGUUAGCCAGGCUGGUCUUGAACUCCAGACCUCAAGGGAUCCGCCUGCCUCAGCUUUCCAAAGUGCUGGGAUUACAGGUGGAGACUGGACCUCAGAAGAGGGAGUGGGUGCCCCGAGAACUCACAGCUAGCGGACAGUGGAAAGGGCAGGAGCCGGACCAAGGUGAGGACAGUGGAACUGAAGGCCGCUGGUUACCUCUCCUGCCCUCCGCUGGCCACAGUGGAGAAGACAGCCCCUCCCUCCUGCUCUGACCUGACAGUGUUCAUCCAUCGCCCUGUAUUAGCGAAGAACAACAUCAAGCUGGCUAGCAAGGAACUGUAUACAGGGUCCAGCUGGGUAUCACACUGGAUCUCACCCAAAGCUUAGAUGUGAUCCAGCUCAGUAUCACAAAGCAGAACGAAAAGGAUGUGUUUGGGCUGAGAGGCCAUACAUUGGCUCCGGCAUGACGGGUGACUUCUUCCGAGUCUGGCUUCUGCAGCACACAGGGCUUCGCCAGCACCCAGCUCCUGCAGCAUGGGCAGCUCCUGUGACAGCAGGCGCCCGCAGCCUGCAAAGCGUCUCCAGUGCCGCCGCCUCAGUGAACCUCAACCAGCGGCACCUAGCAGCUUUCUCUGCCACCCUCUUCAGGUAGUUCUGUAGCAGCGCGUUUCUCAUGAGACACUUCCCUGUGAGCAGCUUUUUCUACCCUUGAGGAUGGAUUUCCAGCAAAUUCUGCCCAUGUGGUACCACAGCCACUUCUCUGCCAUUCAGUGAAACUGCCGUUGUGCCCUCUUCAAGGUCUGGAUCUAAGCCCAGGGACCAGGAAACCUCUUGCUUGAGUGCUGGAACUCAGGCCAGAAGGUAUGGCUGCUGCUAUGUGCUGUGACCAGAGAAUCAGAGUUCUCUUUACUUCUUACCAGCCAACCUCUUGAAAAUGCCUUUUUGUUUUUUGUUUUUUUUUGAGACGGAGUCUCGCUCUGUUGCCCAGGCAGUGCAGUGGCUCACUGCAACCUCCGCCUCCUGAGUUCAAGUGAUUCUCCUGCCUCAGCCUCACAAGUAGGUGGGAUUACAGGCAUGUGCCACCACGCCCAGCUAAUUUUGUAUUUUUAGUAGUGACGGGGUUUCUCCAUGUUGGUCAGGUUGGUCUCAAACUCUCGACCUCAGGUGAUCCACCUGUCUCAGCCUCCCAAAGUGCUGGGAUUACAGACGUUAGCCAGAGCGCCCAGUCUAAGCCCUUUAUAGCUUAAUUCUAUAUAUUAAAUUUUCCCAGUUCAAAUUA
RNAcentral lists this long non-coding RNA (1778 nucleotides) under Homo sapiens (human). RNAcentral's name for it is "HSALNT0384226". The record is from RNAcentral. Lineage: Eukaryota; Metazoa; Chordata; Mammalia; Primates; Hominidae.